AUGUCAUUGAAGAAAAGCAGAAGCAUCAACAUUUCUUUUUAAAAAAUUAGUUUAUUAGUUGAAAGCUUGCUGUUCAGCAUGAGUCUCUUGACUGUUCAGUAGUUCAAGAAAUGCACAAUGCUGCCAUUAACCACAUUUUUAUUCUAUUGGACCAAAUAAGUAAGGAUUUAUAAAUAUUUGAUAUUUAGUGCAGUCUUUCCAAAGUUCAGCGUUAAAGAAAGUAUAAAGUGAGCACAUAAUAUAUGAAAUGAAAAGUUACUUGACAAAUUCCUCUAUGGUCUGUAAAUACAUGUUUGUUGUGAGACUCCCUUAAAAACUGUUCUCUCUCUUCUCAAGCAGGCCCUUCCAAAACAUCAGAGAUAGAGGAAGAAAUUGCUCCUGUAAAAAGUUACACAGAUUCGUCCCAGCAGCAUGGCAUGUCAGAAUUCAGAAUGGAUACUGAGCCAGAAAUCACUAGUGAUGAUGAUGUAGAUGAUGAUGAUGAUGAUGAUGACUAUCCACCCCCUGAAAAGAGACGGAAAAUCUCUGAGCUGGAAAAUCAAGCUUCCAAUAUUGUGGGAAGAACUGCAGAAGAGUUCAGUUUUGAUCCCCCCCAACAUGAGUUGUCAGGACCAAGUGAGAAACCUGAAGUUGAGGUCACGCUUGAAGAUGAUGACGAUGACUACCCCCCCCUAGACAAGAGACAGAAGAGCACGAAGUCGGCUAAUGAAGCUGCCAGUACUCAAAGAAGAGAAGGAAAAGAAUUCAGUUCUGAUUCUUCCCAGCACGACUCGUCAGAAUCAAGUUCGGAUUCUGAGCCCGAAAUCACUACUGAAGAUGAUGAUGAUGAUGAGUACGUGCCUCCUAGCAGGAGACCGAGGAGCAGGCGGUCUAAUCGCGCUUCCAACACUGGGAGAAGGAAAGGAAAACACUCUAGUUCCGAUUCCUCCCAGCAUUACUUCUCAGGAAUAAGUGAGACGCCUGGGCUUGAGGUCACUGUUCAAGGUCAGUUCCUCUGGUGAUUGAUUUCAGUUGCUUGGGCAUUUAUAUAUCCAAAAUGUAUUUUCCAUAACCUACAUUUCUUGGCACUGAAUGAAGAGAAUUGUGUGCCAGUUUUCAGUGUACUUUGGAUUGUGCACUGCUUGGUAAACUAACCUGCUGGAGAAGUAUUGGAAAACCACAAUAUACUGAAGCAUAUUGGACUUAGUUGGCUGUUGUGUGGUUGUUUUAGCAUCGUGCAAUGUCCAGCCAUGUUUCAGAAGACAAUGUUGUCUUCCUUGGGAAGUACAGAUGCAGCUUUGUUUUUUUGCUCUCUUGUGCUUUGCACAAGCCUAUUUGAAGGAACAAGUUGUUCCUUCACAAGUAAGAAGAGGAGCUUUCUGAAUUUUCUCAGGUUAACUAAUUUGUUGCUAAAUUUGGUGUGAGGAUAAGCACAGAUCCUUAUUUCUGUUCGCGUUUUGAAAUUCUCAGCAGUUCCGGUGCUGCACAUGUGUUCCCUGGAUAAGAAAGCAAUUUGAUUUUUUUGUUUCUUUCUUAAAGCUGAUAAUGAUGAUGACGAUGACAACCUACCCCAGGACAUGACAAUAAAUAUGACCUAUUCUGCUAAUGAAGCUGACAAUAGUGGGGGAAGAAAAGUAGAUGCAUUCAGUUCUGGUAAGAUAAAAAUUACAUGCAGUUUUAUCUCCCAGCUUUGUUUUAUUAAAAGGUUUGUGGUUUUUUUGUGCUUCAGGAAUGAGACGUGUUAGUGCCAUCCUUCAUUUAAAAGCCAUGGGCUCUGUGUAGGUGCAUUGCAGCAGUAAAAUCAUCAUCAUGAGCUACCUCUGUUGUUCAUUGUUAAUUGAUGUGACGAAGUAAAUGGACACACAGGACGCUGGGAUUUCCUUGUUGUCUUCUUGCAUGAUCCCU
This is a long non-coding RNA of Ficedula albicollis (Collared flycatcher), 1884 nucleotides long. Lineage: Eukaryota; Metazoa; Chordata; Aves; Passeriformes; Muscicapidae. The record is from Ensembl.